UACGUAGGGUGCAAGCGUUGUCCGGAAUUAUUGGGCGUAAAGAGCUCGUAGGCGGUUUGUCGCGUCGGCUGUGAAAACCCGGGGCUCAACCCCGGGCCUGCAGUCGAUACGGGCAAACUAGAGUGUGGUAGGGGAGACUGGAAUUCCUGGUGUAGCGGUGAAAUGCGCAGAUAUCAGGAGGAACACCGGUGGCGAAGGCGGAUCUCUGGGACGGUACUGACGCUGAGACGCGAAAGCGUGGGGAGCGAACAGG
This 253-nucleotide ribosomal RNA is filed under the name uncultured bacterium. Its description in RNAcentral is "partial 16S ribosomal RNA". It matches the Rfam family "Bacterial small subunit ribosomal RNA", at positions 524 to 776 of the family's 1533-position model. The record is from RNAcentral.